GACGAACGCUGGCGGCGUGCUUAACACAUGCAAGUCGAACGGAAAGGCCCCUUUGGGGGUACUCGAGUGGCGAACGGGGGAGUAACACGUGAGUAACCUGCCCUUGACUUCGGGAUAACUUCAGGAAACUGGGGCUAAUACCGGAUAGGAAUCCUUGCUGCAUGGUGGGGGUUGGAAAGCUUCGGCGGUUUUGGAUGGACUCGCGGCUUAUCAGCUUGUUGGUGGGGUAGUGGCUUACCAAGGCUUUGACGGGUAGCCGGCCUGGGAGGGCGACCGGCCACAUUGAGACUGGGAUACGGCCCAGACUCCUACGGGAGGCAGAAGUGGGGAAUAUUGCACAAUGGGCAGGAGCCUGAUGCAGCAACGCCGCGGGCGGGAUGACGGCCUUCGGGUUGGAAACCGCAUUCAGCAGGGGCGAAGCUUGUGGUGACGGUACCUGCAGAAGAAGCACCGGCUAACUACGUG
This 465-nucleotide ribosomal RNA is filed under the name uncultured bacterium. RNAcentral's name for it is "partial 16S ribosomal RNA". It matches the Rfam family "Bacterial small subunit ribosomal RNA", at positions 28 to 507 of the family's 1533-position model. The record is from RNAcentral.